UACGUAGGGUGCGAGCGUUAAUCGGAAUUACUGGGCGUAAAGCGUGCGCAGGCGGUCUGUUAAGACAGAUGUGAAAUCCCCGGGCUUAACCUGGGAACUGCAUUUGUGACUGGCAGGCUAGAGUAUGGCAGAGGGGGGUAGAAUUCCACGUGUAGCAGUGAAAUGCGUAGAGAUGUGGAGGAAUACCGAUGGCGAAGGCAGCCCCCUGGGAUGAGACUGACGCUCAUGUACGAAAGCGUGGGGAGCAAACAGG
RNAcentral lists this ribosomal RNA (253 nucleotides) under uncultured bacterium. Its description in RNAcentral is "partial 16S ribosomal RNA". It matches the Rfam family "Bacterial small subunit ribosomal RNA", at positions 524 to 776 of the family's 1533-position model. The record is from RNAcentral.